RNAcentral lists this ribosomal RNA (468 nucleotides) under uncultured bacterium. RNAcentral's name for it is "partial 16S ribosomal RNA". It matches the Rfam family "Bacterial small subunit ribosomal RNA", at positions 28 to 507 of the family's 1533-position model. The record is from RNAcentral.
GACGAACGCUGGCGGCGUGCUUAACACAUGCAAGUCGAACGGAAAGGCCCUGCUUUUGUGGGGUGCUCGAGUGGCGAACGGGUGAGUAACACGUGAGUAACCUGCCCUUGACUUUGGGAUAACUUCAGGAAACUGGGGCUAAUACCGGAUAGGAGCUCCUGCUGCAUGGUGGGGGUUGGAAAGUUUCGGCGGUUGGGGAUGGACUCGCGGCUUAUCAGCUUGUUGGUGGGGUAGUGGCUUACCAAGGCUUUGACGGGUAGCCGGCCUGAGAGGGUGACCGGCCACAUUGGGACUGAGAUACGGCCCAGACUCCUACGGGAGGCAGCAGUGGGGAAUAUUGCACAAUGGGCGGAAGCCUGAUGCAGCAACGCCGCGUGCGUGAUGACGGCCUUCGGGUUGUAAACCGCUUUCGCCUGUGACGAAGCGUGAGUGACGGUAAUUAGUAAAGAAGCACCGGCUAACUACGUG